Molecule: long non-coding RNA, 780 nt
Filed under: Homo sapiens (human)
Lineage: Eukaryota; Metazoa; Chordata; Mammalia; Primates; Hominidae
Description: long intergenic non-protein coding RNA 1409
Source: RNAcentral
CUCUGUUCACGGAAAGGGCCUGGGAGCUGCAACACCUCAACAGCAACAAGCACACCUGCUACCUAGAACUUGGUUUCUAAAAACCAUCCUCCUCUAAAAGGAAACAGAGCUCUUUGAAGAAACGCAGAAGGUAAGCAUGAGCAAAUUACUUUUUAGAGGUAACUUUGCUGAACUUGUGAAGAAUGGUGUGCAAGGUCCAGAGCGACUGCAGGAGAGGGAAGGUGGGAUUCCCACAGAGCAGGAGCACAGAUAAGCCAAGCAAGGCCCUGCUUGGAAGGCAGCAAUCAACAGAGAUGCACAGACCUGUGAGGGUGCCGGGACAGCCAUGCAACAAUGCAGCCCUUUUGCUUCCUGAGCUCACCAGUUCCCUCGCUCCACCUCUGAGAGGUGGUUUGGAGAAACACAGCCCUUCUCAAGAGGGCUGCAAGCUACUUAAGUCCUGAAAAUUUCCACAAGGCUGAGUCAAAUCUGCGUUUCAUCAUCUAUAAGAAAGGUACCUAUCGAGAACACCCUGCUGGCCAGUGUGUAAAUAUCUAAAGGAGGACUCAGAAAACACCGGGGAAGUCCAGCCUGCACGUGGUGGCUGGGCUUCAGUGAAGCAUGCAGCACAACAGGAGUUGUAAGUAGUAGUUACAUCAGCAGCCCUGGAAAUUCUGCUCAGAACCAAACUGAACAAAUAACAUUAUCUAAGGCUUACAAUUAUUUAACUCCCUAAAUUUUCUGUCCUCCCAGUAGCACUUUCAAAUGCCUAAAAGCAAUUAAAAGAAACAUUUUUCCAAU